UGGCGGACGGGUGAGUAACGCGUACGGAAACCUGCCGUAUACGGUGGGGGUAAUAACCUAACUUAAGAAAGUAGGUGACUAAUACGCAUAAGCGCACAGCUUCGCAUGAAGCGGUGUGAAAAACUCUGGUGGUAUACGAUGGUUCCGCGUCUGAUUAGCUAGUUGGUGGGGUAAUGGCCUACCAAGGCAACGAUCAGUAGCCGGCCUGAGAGGGUGAACGGCCACAUUGGGACUGAGACACGGCCCAAACUCCUACGGGAGGCAGCAG
Molecule: ribosomal RNA, 268 nt
Filed under: uncultured bacterium
Lineage: Bacteria
Description: partial 16S ribosomal RNA
Rfam family: Bacterial small subunit ribosomal RNA
Source: RNAcentral